This 492-nucleotide ribosomal RNA is filed under the name uncultured bacterium. Its description in RNAcentral is "partial 16S ribosomal RNA". It matches the Rfam family "Bacterial small subunit ribosomal RNA", at positions 30 to 507 of the family's 1533-position model. The record is from RNAcentral.
AUUGAACGCUGGCGGUAUGCCUAACACAUGCAAGUCGAACGGUAACGGGCUUAGAGCUUGCUAUUACUGGUGGCCGGGUGCGGACUACAUCGGAACACAUCCGAACGUAGUUUAUCAUGGGGCGAAACCUUUGGUAACUCAGCAUACUAUCUCCGGCUGCAUGCAGGGGAACGCAAGGCCUCUUCCGGCCUUACCCGCCGAUGUGAGCCGAUGUCGGAUUAGGUAGUUGGCGGGGUAAAGGCCCACCAAGGCGACGAUCCGUAGCUGGUCUGAGAGGAUGAUCAGCCACACUGGAACUGAGACACGGUCCAGACUCCUACGGGAGGCAGCAGUGGGGAAUAUUGGACAAUGGGCGCAAGCCUGAUCCAGCCAUGCCGCGUGGAUGAAGAAGGCCUUCGGGUUGUAAAGCCCUUUUGUUGGGAAAGAAAAGCAGUAGGUUAAUACCCCGCUGUUCUGACGGUACCCAAAGAAUAAGCACCGGCUAACUUCGUG